CUACGUUGUGUUGAGCCUGCAGGCACACAGAAUGCACAAGUGAAGGAGGCUUGGCAGCUUCCACCUAGAUUCCAGAGGAUGUAUCAGAGGAAAGCCUUGGUGCUUGCCGCAGGGUGGAGCCUCCACAAAGAUACUUUCCUAGGGCAGUGCUAAGGGGAAAUGUGGGGUUGGAGCCCCACACAGCGUCCUCACCAGGGCACUACCUAGUGGAGCUGUGAGAAGGGGGUUGCUGUCCUUCAGUUGGGAAAAUGGUAGAGCCACUGGCAGCUUGCAUCCUGAGCCUGGAAAGCCACAGGCACUCAACUCCAAUCCAGGAGAGCAGCCACUCGGUGGCAGUCUGCAUAGCCAUGGAGGUGGAGAUGCCCUAAGUGUUGGGAGUCCAUCCCUUGCACCAGUGUGCUCUGGUUUCAGGACAAGGAGUGAAGGAUUAUUUUGGAGCACUAAGGUUUAAGGCUCAUAGGUGGAAGGACUUGCCUUGAGUCUCAGAAGAGACUUUGGACUUUUGAGUGAUGCUGGAAUGAGGUUUGUCAAAGAUCAGCAUUCUUAUACACCAACAACAGACAGAGAGCCAAAUCAUGAGUGAACUCCCAUUCACAAUUGCUUCAAAGAGAAUAAAAUACCUAGGAAUCCAACUUACAAGGGAUGUGAAGGACCUCUUCAAGGAGAACUACAAACCACUGCUCAAGGAAAUAAAAGAGGAUACAAACAUUCCAUGCUCAUGGGUAGGAAGAAUCAAUAUCGUGGAAAUGGCCAUACUGCCCAAGAUACAGAUUUAACCCUUUCCAGUACCGGCGGGAAAGAAAAAUGCUUGGAGAUGGACUCCCAGAGGAACAGGAACAUUGUCUUACUCAUCUUUCUCUACCAAGUAACCAUCAAAAGACUUGGCACUAGGAAGUUACCAGAAAGAAUAAAGUGAAUGUUGCACAUUGCAAGAUUUCUCUAUCAUUAAAAAGUAAGUAAGAAAGAAAAGCCCCACAACAAAUCAGUUGGGAUGAUUAAAAUAGCUUUGGCACUGCUCCAACCUUGAAAAAUCCUUCAGCGCGGUGACUCAUGAUGAUCCAAUCCAAAAAAAUGUGUGAGGCCGACCAGGCAAAAAGGCAAGGAGCAGCUACACCGGAAAAUUAGCACUCCCUAAUCCUCUUCAAAACAGUUGAUGAAGGAGAGACUAUUUGAAUAAUUUGAACCCCAAUUUGAAUAAUUCAUACCUAUUCUCAUGUGUGGCUGGCUGAAUAGAGACUCUCACUGACUGCAUUCAUUUCAUCAGGAGUGUUUACCUUGUACAUUUUUUUCCCCUGGAGAUUGGUUAUGUGGCCAUUACACGUAUCUAAUUGUUUUUCAUUUUGUAAAUGUAAGAGCUUAUCAUUUAUCUAGUUAAGGUACACUGUUACUAGAGCAUUUAAUAUGAUUGAUUGCCAAACAGAAGGUGCAUCCUUUGUCAGAUGUUAAAGUGACUGUUGAUUCUUUAACCCCUAGGGAAUACGACGCCAGUAUAUUUGGUUUCACAAAGUUUUAAAUCCCCUUUUGCAAAUGUUAAAAUUAAACUUCCCCCUCAUGUGAACAAAAUAUGCAACAUAAUCUGUGCUCUUGUGACCCACUUAAUUUCAUAUGAAGAAUUCAAUCACUUAGAAAAAGUUUUUGAGACAUAGGUAAUGAUGCUUCAGAAGGUACCCCAGGAAGUCAAUUUGCCAAAUCCUAGUCCCAUAGAAGCAGGAGGGAGCUUCAAAGUUAUAUGCUUCACUGCCCUCUCUUCAGAUGUGAGAGCACCUAAUUUCCUACAAACUCAAGGUAACAACAUGGGCUCAGAAGUCACGCGCUUAAAUUAAGCAACAUGGCUGCAAAAAACGUUGAUGGCCAAUGUUAAUGAAAUUAAAACAAGCAAAACAAUUUGAACCUCUGAAAAUGCAAUUUUCACAUCAUAGUUAAAAAUUAUUAUUUAUUUUUUCAUACCACAAAGUGCUUUAUUGUUAGGGCACUGGUUUAAAUUAAAAAAGAAAGUGUGUUGACAGCAACAAAAAAAGAUUGUGAUCUACUGAACAAUUUUUGCAAGCACAUUGUUUCUUGGGCCACUUUGAGCAGCUGACCUAAAAAAUAUUAAUCGGAUUAGUAUCUAUUCUGCUCAUAAAAAUUUCUUAUGAAAGAACAAGUCUGUUGCAAGCCAUCUCAAUUUAUACAAUUUAAUAUCAAGAUAUUCUAUUUUACCCUUAAGAUAUUUCAAACAUGCACUUUUCCUUUGAAUUGUAACAAUGGGGCUAUAAAUAAUAAGGAUUUCUUUAUGUUUUUCUUCUGUGAGUACAUCACAGAAAAUAUCCGUUUUUAAAUAACACUAUGAAAUUGAUGGCUCCAUAUCUUACAGAUAACCUAUUGUGAACUCUGAAUCAUUUUGCCAUAUCAUUUUUGGAAAUUUAUCCUCAAGCCUCUGUUUUUGUAUUUUUUCAUGUGUUUAAAAAUUAUAAUUAUAUACUUAUAUUCUGAAUGUAUUCUUAGUGAAAAAUACGUUGGUUUUUAAACUUAAUAAUAAAAACUUGUAACUUUCCAUGUUCUCAUGAAAAGAUAAUGUUACAUGUCCAUUGUAGAGAAGUUGAAAAAUACAGAAAACAUUUGUGAAAUAAUAUUAAAAGCACUUAUAAUUCAACUAUCAGAAAUAACA
This 2647-nucleotide long non-coding RNA is filed under the name Homo sapiens (human). Its description in RNAcentral is "HSALNT0249793". Lineage: Eukaryota; Metazoa; Chordata; Mammalia; Primates; Hominidae. The record is from RNAcentral.